This 440-nucleotide ribosomal RNA is filed under the name uncultured bacterium. Its description in RNAcentral is "partial 16S ribosomal RNA". It matches the Rfam family "Bacterial small subunit ribosomal RNA", at positions 338 to 795 of the family's 1533-position model. The record is from RNAcentral.
CCUACGGGAGGCAGCAGUGGGGAAUAUUGCACAAUGGGGGAAACCCUGAUGCAGCGACGCCGCGUGAGUGAAGAAGUAUUUCGGUACGUAAAGCUCUAUCAGCAGGGAAGAAAAUGACGGUACCUGACUAAGAACCCCCGGCUAACUACGUGCCAGCAGCCGCGGUAAUACGUAGGGGGCAAGCUUUACCCGGAUUUACUGGGUGAAAGGGGAGCGUAGACGGCAGCGCAAGUCUGGAGUGAAAUCCCAUGGCUUAACCAUGGAACUGCUUUGGAAACUGUGCAGCUAGAGUGCAGGAGAGGUAAGCGGAAUUCCUAGUGUAGCGGUGAAAUGCGUAGAUAUUAGGAGGAACACCAGUGGCGAAGGCGGCUUACUGGACUGUAACUGACGUUGAGGCUCGAAAGCGUGGGGAGCAAACAGGAUUAGAUACCCCUGUAGUC